CAAGAUGAGUCGCACGACUCCAUAAACA
RNAcentral lists this transfer RNA (28 nucleotides) under Canis lupus (wolf). Its description in RNAcentral is "partial tRNA-Phe". Lineage: Eukaryota; Metazoa; Chordata; Mammalia; Carnivora; Canidae. The record is from RNAcentral.